CUCACACGGUGGUGUCCCUGGCGAGAACCUGCCCUUCGACAUCUCCAACCGCUACAAGCUGACUGUCUACUUCAUUGCAUUCUUCGGCUCCGGUCUGGCUGCCCCUUACCUCAUCUGCCGUCACCAGCUUUUGAAGAAGUAAGCUUCUAGCAUCCACGUUGCCGCAUCAAAAUGUUUUAGGGUUAAGCUAGCAAACUGUAUAUUUUAAUCAUAAUUUAUGAUUUAAUAAAUUCCGUUUAGAGUUA
This is a long non-coding RNA of Helicoverpa armigera (cotton bollworm), 245 nucleotides long. RefSeq lists it as uncharacterized. The transcript is spliced from 3 exons. Lineage: Eukaryota; Metazoa; Arthropoda; Insecta; Lepidoptera; Noctuidae. The record is from RefSeq and is a predicted model, not a curated record.